GUGAUGCCCUUAGAUGUUCUGG
Molecule: non-coding RNA, 22 nt
Filed under: Arabidopsis thaliana (thale cress)
Lineage: Eukaryota; Viridiplantae; Streptophyta; Magnoliopsida; Brassicales; Brassicaceae
Source: RNAcentral